Molecule: ribosomal RNA, 252 nt
Filed under: uncultured bacterium
Lineage: Bacteria
Description: partial 16S ribosomal RNA
Rfam family: Bacterial small subunit ribosomal RNA
Source: RNAcentral
UACGGAGGGUGCAAGCGUUAUCCGGAUUCACUGGGUUUAAAGGGUGCGUAGGCGGGUUUUAAGUCAGCGGUGAAAGCUCCGAGCUUAACUCGGAAAUUGCCGUUGAUACUAUUAAUCUUGAAUUUAGUUGAGGUGGGCGGAAUGUGUAGUGUAGCGGUGAAAUGCUUAGAUAUUACACAGAACACCUAUUGCGAAGGCAGCUCGCUAAACUAAUAUUGACGCUGAGGCACGAAAGCGUGGGGAUCAAACAGG